RNAcentral lists this ribosomal RNA (497 nucleotides) under uncultured bacterium. RNAcentral's name for it is "partial 16S ribosomal RNA". It matches the Rfam family "Bacterial small subunit ribosomal RNA", at positions 28 to 507 of the family's 1533-position model. The record is from RNAcentral.
GAUGAACGCUGGCGGCGUGCCUAAUACAUGCAAGUCGAGCGAACAGACGAGGAGCUUGCUCCUCUGACGUUAGCGGCGGACGGGUGAGUAACACGUGGAUAACCUACCUAUAAGACUGGGAUAACUUCGGGAAACCGGAGCUAAUACCGGGUAAUAUAUUGAACCGCAUGGUUCAAUAGUGAAAGACGGUUUUGCUGUCACUUAUAGAUGGAUCCGCGCCGCAUUAGCUAGUUGGUAAGGUAACGGCUUACCAAGGCAACGAUGCGUAGCCGACCUGAGAGGGUGAUCGGCCACACUGGAACUGAGACACGGUCCAGACUCCUACGGGAGGCAGCAGUAGGGAAUCUUCCGCAAAGGGCGAAAGCCUGACGGAGCAACGCCGCGUGAGUGAUGAAGGUCUUCGGAUCGUAAAACUCUGUUAUUAGGGAAGAACAAAUGUGUAAGUAACUAUGCACGUCUUGACGGUACCUAAUCAGAAAGCCACGGCUAACUACGUG